RNAcentral lists this ribosomal RNA (239 nucleotides) under uncultured bacterium. Its description in RNAcentral is "partial 16S ribosomal RNA". It matches the Rfam family "Bacterial small subunit ribosomal RNA", at positions 92 to 334 of the family's 1533-position model. The record is from RNAcentral.
CGAGUGGCGGACGGGUGAGUAAUGUCUGGGAAACUGCCUGAUGGAGGGGGAUAACUACUGGAAACGGUAGCUAAUACCGCAUAACGUCGCAAGACCAAAGAGGGGGACCUUCGGGCCUCUUGCCAUCGGAUGUGCCCAGAUGGGAUUAGCUAGUAGGUGGGGUAACGGCUCACCUAGGCGACGAUCCCUAGCUGGUCUGAGAGGAUGACCAGCCACACUGGAACUGAGACACGGUCCGG